This 7632-nucleotide long non-coding RNA is filed under the name Lactuca sativa (garden lettuce). RNAcentral's name for it is "long non-coding RNA (LSAT_LNC004853)". The record is from RNAcentral. Lineage: Eukaryota; Viridiplantae; Streptophyta; Magnoliopsida; Asterales; Asteraceae.
CAUAUGAAACAAGAGGGCUAGGCCGAUUUUAAGAAGUGUGUAUUCUCUCAAAAGUCUUUCCAAGAGCAUUUGGUGUUGUGUGAAGCAUUUGAGGCAUCACACUUGGGGUGCUAGACUCACAAGAUUUCAAGGAACAUAAGCAACAACAAGGUAAGUCACUCUAUCUUUCAUUCAAGUUAAAAAAUUUUCCCCGUGUAUGCUAGAUAGGAAUAUAACCUUGGAAUUCAACUUUGCAUGAUAAUUAGACAAACAUAGAUCCAUGGUUAUUAGGAUUUCAUGUUCACUUAAGAAGUGUUACAAUGCUCAAAACACAUCAGUGGUAUUAGAGCCUAGGCUUGUUUGUUCGUUAUUUGUGCUAAAUAGUUGAAAAAAGUCGAUUUUGUGCAAUCUGCCUGAUGAACUCGCCGAGUCCAUGGGGGGACUCGCCGAGUUCAUGUGUAUCUUCAUCCUACUCACCGAGUAGGUUCGUGCACUCGGCGAGUAGGAGCCUCAGAAUGCAGAUUUUCGACUUUAGUUGCUGGAAAUGGACUAGAAACAUUACCCUAAACUAUUUUGGUACUUGAAAAUUUGUUUUAGAUGGUCUAAUGUCCUUGCUAAUCCAUUUACAACAACAAGUUAUCAAAAUUACAAAGUUUAAGUGUAAUUUUGAUUCAUGAAAGUGUUCAUGUUCGUGUUCUUGAUCUUAUAAUGUUUAGAUGAUCAUAGGAAUUGUUUGUAACCAAUGUGGUAGAUUAAUUCUUGAUCAUUAUGUGUUUUAAUGGAGUCCAUAACUUGUCCUCAAGUUAUGGAAAACCAAAAGUCACUUUGCUUUAAAACCAUUAAAAGAACACAUGGGUUAUAAAAAUGAAGAGUCUUCAUUCUUAAUACCCUAAUAAACUCAUAAGUUACAAGAAGUGAAGAGUUUUGAAAGUUUACAACACUUGCCCUCAAGUUUUCGAACAAGUAAAGUCAGGUUAAAACUUUAUUUCCAACCCUUAGAAUUUUAAAAGUUAAAAUCCUAACCUUAUACUUAUAAUAUUAUAAGUUAAUAAUAAUAUAUAUAUAUAUAUAUAUANUUACCGCUAGUACGCCUCAUUCACGAAGCCGGUCUAUAAGGUGGGUAUAAGGUUGUUGCCUAUAAAAUGGUGACUUAAUGGGUGUCCACUCUCACCCACCGCUUGCUUGACCGGUGGAGGGUCGUUAGCCGAACGGGUAAGACAAGGACUUAUAAAUUCUCAUUCAAAGUAUGAUGAAUAUUAUAAAGUAACUAAAUGGUUUUAUUAAAUUCCCAAUCUUAGUUACUUUAGGAAAAAUGUGAAUAAGGUGCUAAUCCAUGAAAUUACACUUUACAUUUUGUUUAAGUCGUUGGUGGAGCGUGUGUGGUUAACCGGCACACUAACUUGGACUUAACAAGGUAAGUAAAGGGUGACUAAAGGUUUAUCAUAGUAUCGGUGGAGCGUGUGUGGUUUACCAGCACAUCGAUUGAGAGAUAAACUUUAAGGGUACCAAGUGAUUUGCAUGGUUACUUCAUACCUCGUUUUGUGAUCCUCGGUAUCCCAGUCACAAAACUUGGAGGGCACACUCGAGAUUGAAACAUGCCUUCGAAAAGUUCAUUGAAUCCCAAAAGAAUCUAGGAAUUUCUAAGAAGCCAAUCAAAAAACCUAAUAUUUAAUAUUUCGGUUUUUCAUGGUGGAAAUUGGUGAAUCGUCAUUCACCUACCUUUCAAAUAUGUUAUAGCUUGGAUUACGGCAUACCUCUUCUAAGUUAUAAUAUAUUGUGAUUGGAUCCUAGCCUUAAUAUUACAUUUGGGUGUUUUACUAAGGAAUCUCUUAAUAUCUAAACUAAUCUUGUCCUCUUCCUUUAGAUGUCUUCAAACGAUGCCGCUUUUGGUUCUAAUCCUAAUGGCUCCUUUACCCUUACGAACUUGUGUGGGAAAUUCACUUUUGAUGGAUCCAAUUUCAAUGAAUGGAUCAGAAACAUCAGGAUGAUUACCCGCUACGAGGACAAAGAAUAUGUCCUCGGCAAGGAGCUUAAGGAGAUUGAUGAGAGCACUGCAACUCCCCAGGAGAUCGCUGACUUUCAGGCACAUGAAAGGGAUGCUACCAAAGUGGCAUGCAUCAUGAUGGCCACGAUGACAGCGGAACUCCAAAAGUCCUAUAAAGACUUCUACCAUUUUGAAAUGCACCAAGAUUUGAUGGAAAAUACCAUCAAAGUGCACGACAAGAGAGGUAUGAAAUCAUCUGCUCCAUGAUAACAACCUAAAUGAAGGAUGGAGAACCCAUCACAGACCACAUGCAGAAAAUGCAAAGAUUUGUGGACCGCUUGCUGAAGCUUAAUGUGAACUUCCCCGAGGAGCUAGCAAUAGAUAUUAUUUUGCACUCCUUACCUUCAUGUUAUGAUCAAUUCCGCAUGACAUACCACAUGAACAAGGAAGAGGUCACACUCAGCAAACUUCAAGGACUCUUAAAGACCGCGGAAAGUGGUCUUAAGGGUAAGGCGGUUGUUACUACUCCUACUCCUACCAACUCCGCCCCUGUCUUGGCAAUCGGGAAAGGACGAGGGAAGAAGAGAAAGAGUUCUUCGAAGGGUACCAAGGUUAGGACCCUUGAUGGCUCUUCUUCAAGUGGAACCAAGAAAGGUUUCAUCACUCCUUCUUCUGACCCAAAAGAGGCUGAAUGCUUCUAUUGCCAUGAAAAGGCACAUUGGAAGCGGAACUGCCCAAAGUACCAGCAAGAUGUGAAGGAUGGGAAAGUUAAACCCAACCAUGCAGGUAUUUACACUAUCUUAUCUAAUAACUCACCCCAUUCUAACUCUUGGGUCCUUGAUACCGGUUGUGGUAUUCAUAUCUGUUCUGAUUUACAGGGACUAAGAAGAAGUGAGGAUGUGGAGCAAGGAAGAAUAAACUUGAUCAUGGGAAACAGGAAAGCUUCACCUGUCACCAAGAUUGGAGUUUAUACUUUAUCGCUAAGUAGUGGGUUUAGUUUAGAUUUGAAUAAGUGUUGUUAUUCGCCAGAAAUGGCAAGAAAUAUUAUUUCCUUUCAUGCAUUGUAUAAACAAGGUUUCACCUUUUCAUUUGAUAAUGAAGUUGGUUCGAUUAAUGCUCUCUUUAAUAAUGUUCUUUAUUUUAAAGCAAUACCAUGUGAUGGCAUGUAUGAAACAGUAUCUGUGGUUGAUAACCAAGGAAAUAAUGUAUUGUGUAUUGAUUCUAUUAAUAAUAACUUGGAUAAAGCAUCAUUAUGGCAUUGUCAUCUUGGACAUAUAAGCAAGAAACGCAUAGGCCAACUCCAAAAGGAUGGAGUCUUGGAGUCAUUUGACCUAAAGUCAGAUGAUAGUUGCAAAUCAUGCUUACUUGGAAAAAUAACAAAGUCACCUUUCACAGGUUCUUGUGAUAGGGGUGAUGGUUUGUUGGAUCUUGUACACACGGAUGUGUGUGGGACCUUCAAACAUGCCACAACGAAUCCUAAUCGUUAUUAUUUGACUUUUACUGAUGAUUAUAGUAGAUAUGGAUAUGUCUACUUAAUCAACCAUAAGUCAGAGACUUUCGAAAAGUUUAAGGAAUUUAAACAGGAAGUCGAGAAUCAAUUGGGCAGGAACAUUAAGAUGCUUCGAUCCGAUCGAGGUGGUGAGUAUCUUAGUUCAGAGUUCCUCGACUAUCUUAGGGAAUGUGGGAUUGUCUCACAAUUGACACCUCCCAGGACACCACAGUUGAAUGGUGUGGCUGAGNAUAAUCAAACCUUGUUGAUAUGGUUCGUUCCAUGAUGAGUCGAGCUUUGCUACUAAUCUCAUUUUGGGGGUAUGCCUUAGAGACUGCCACCCAUCUCCUCAAUCUAGUCCCUACAAAGAAAGUUGCCAAAAUUCCUCAUGAGAUGUGGACUGGUAAAGUACCCAAACUAGACCACAUCAAGAUUUUGGGUUGCGAGGCUUUCGUGAGAUGCGAGACUCAUGAUAAGCUCGAACCUCGAAGCGAGAGGUGUAUUUUCAUCGGCUACCCACAGCAAUCCUUUGGUUACCUCUUCUACAGACCUAGUGACAAUGUGGUCUUUGUAGCUAGGAGGGCUUUCUUUAGAGAGAGAGAGAGUUCAUAACCCAAGGAAACAGUGGGAGGCAAGUAGAUCUUGAAGAAAUUCAAUAGUCAAGUGGUGAAGGAACUUCAAAUCCUAGCACUUAACUUGAGGAGUAAACUCCUAUUGAGCCAAUUGAGAAGUCUGUACCUCUGAGGCGUUCCACAAGGGUUAGGAAUGCACCUGAGCAUUACUAUGGAUUCCAUAUUACUGUGGAAGGUGAUACACUUAUCAGUUAUGAGACACUGAUAGGCCUGGAUGAACCUAGCAGUUACACAGAAGCCAUGGCAGGCCCUGAGUCAGCCAAGUGGAAAGAGGCAAUGGACAGCGAGAUACAAUCCAUGUACGACAAUCAAGUUUGGAACUUGGUUGAGAAUGUACCAGGUCGUAAGACAGUAGGGUGCAAAUGGGUCUUCAAGAAGAAGACCGACAUGGAUGGUAAAGUACACACUUAUAAGGCUAGACUGGUUGCAAAGGGCUUCUCUCAAAUUCCUGGAGUGGACUAUGAUGAGACCUUUUCUCCAGUAGCCAAGAUUAAGUCUAUUCGGGUUCUGUUAGCCAUAGCUGCAUUUCAUGACUAUGAAAUAUGGCAAAUGGAUGUCAAAACCGCUUUCCUUAAUGGAAAGUUGGCUGAAGAUGUUUACAUGAGUCAGCCAGAAGGUUUUGUCAGCAACGAGUACCCUAAUAGAGUGUGUAAGCUUUGAGAAAUCCAUUUAUGGAUUAAAGCAAGCACCUCGCAGGUGGAAUGUUUGCUUUGAUGAGAAAGUCAAGGAAUUUGGCUUUUCUAGGAGUGAAGAUGAAUCUUGUGUAUAUGUCAAGGCUAGUGGGAGUAUAGUUAGCUUUUUGGUAUUUGGAUGACAUACUACUCAUAGGAAUGACAUCCCAACACUGCUGGAAGUUAAGUCCUGGCUUGGGAAGUGUUUCUCUAUGAAGGACCUAGGACAAGCUGCCUAUAUUCUAGGGAUAAGGAUCUUGAGAGACCGGAAUAAAAGACUAAUUGGACUUAGUCAGAGUACCUACUUGGAUAAGGUGCUGAAGAGAUUCAGCAUGCAGGAUUCCAAGAAAGGAGAGUUACCCAUCCAGAGUAACACCAGAUUGAGUAAGACACAAAGCCCUAGCACUGAGGCUGAGAUAGCAGAAAUGAGUCGAACACCUUACGCUUCGGCUGUAGGAUCGAUCAUGUAUGCUAUGACGUGUACUCGACCCGAUGUAGCUUUUGCCUUGAGCAUGGUUAGCAGGUAUCAGGCGAACCCUGGCAAGGCACACUGGACUGCGGUAAAGAAUAUCCUCAAGUACCUACGGAGGACUAAGGACUGGGUUCUUACCCUCGGUGGGAGUGAUGACUUGAGAGUUGUAGGGUAUAGUGAUGCUAGCUUCCAGACUGAUAGGGAUAAUUUCCGCUCUCAGUCGGGCUGGGUCUUUACCCUAAACGGAGGAGCAAUUUCUUGGAAGAGUUCCAAACAAGAGAUAGUGGCUGAUUAAACUUGUGAAUCAGAUUAUAUUGCAGCUAGCGAGGUGGCAAAGGAGGCAAUAUGGCUUAAGAACUUCAUUGGAGACGUUGGAAUUGUACCAGCUAUUAAAGAGCCAAUGGAAAUUUUCUGUGAUAGUGAAAGCGUUGUUGCCUUAGCCAAGGAACCAAGGGAUCACGGGAGAUCCAGACACAUCGACAGAAAAUACCAUUUUAUCAGACAUCGAAUAGAAGAAGGACUCCUCGUGGCAAAGAGGGUAUCAUCGGAUGAGAACCCAGCAGAUCCCCUCACGAAGGGACUGACUCGGGUUAAGCAUCUCCAGCAUGCUCGGAGCAUAGGGCUGAAGGAUGAUAUAAGUUUUAGUAGUUAGAUAACCCAGAAAUUUGUAAAGUGUAAUUGACAUUUGAUGAUGAAUAAAAGGUGUUUUAUUUAUGAGUAAAGUGUUGCUAUCUCUUGUCGAUCGUUUACUAUAUUUCUUUUGCAUGUUUUGACUUCCAGAAUAAUUUUGUUUGGUAUAACAUAUUAUUCAAACCUCCACAGUCGGUCAUAUGUCGGAAGUAGGUAUGAAUCAAGACUGUCAUGAUGGGUUGUAGAGGUCUAAGGUGUUGGACAAGGCUACAACAAUCAUGAGUGCUCAUAAGUUCUGAGCAUUGGACUCAACCCACGCUCACUGGAAUCACUUCAUGGAAUUCUAUCUCGAGUGAUCGUGAGACGGUAAUAUCAUAUAAGUCUUCAAACCUAGAGAUAUGAUUUGUUACUUACAAGUUGGUUAUGCAUUGACUGUACGAAACCGCAUUGGUAACUCGAUGUUAUAAAACGUACUUUUGUGUGUAAUUCAAUGAGUGGUAGAACAAACAUAUGAGUCGAAGUUUAUCUGUUCCUUCUUGGAUUAGAAGCUGAUAUCUGGGCCCCUCGAUGAUUUUGUUUUGACCCAUGUACCGGGCCCGGUCAGAACUAAGUUGAUGUGUUCAAUUAAGUUCUAUGUCAAACAAAUCGGAAAUCGGGAAACAAAUGCUGGACAAUAAGCAAGACAAUGUUCCAUGUAUUUGUCCGGCUGAUAUCUAGAACGGAGGAUUAUAUGAUCACUUAUCUUAAAUGGCGUACCAUCAUCUUCUCAGUUCCGAGAGACCUUGAAAGAGCUACGAUUGCCGGUCGGUUCCUGAAGUACUAGAGAUAUAGUUAUUAGACUUAUCCAAGUGGGAGACUGUUGGAUAAGGUGUCUAAGUCCAUAACUAUUUCGGGCUUGUACUUGACCCGACCCGGCAUGGUCCAUUUGGGUUGCAUGGCACCAUGCAAUUGGAUAGACUAAAUGAGAGAAAUAACACUUGGAGAUUAUUAAUAUAUUAUAAGUUCUAAUAUAUUAAUAAUAUUAUUUGAUUAGUUGAUCAAAGAAUUAAUUUGGAAUUAAUUAAGUGAUCAAAGGAUAACUAAUUAAAUAUAUGGGUUGAUUAUGUAAAUCAUCCAUAUCUUGUAUAGUAGGCUAAGAGGCUCCAUGGAUUUUCAAGUUGGGUUCCACCCAUAGGAUGCUCCAUGGAUGCUCCAUGGGAGUUACAAACCCAUGGGUCAUGGAAAUGAAGAGUCAUGAAACAUUAGGGUUUACAUGGUGUAAUCCUAGAUGUGUCAACACUAUAUAAGAAUCAUAUUCUCCACCAAAAUCGGCUACACUANAAGAGGGCUAGGCCGAUUUUAAGAAGUGUGUAUUCUUUAAAAAGUCUUUCCAAGAGCAUUUGGUGUUGUGUGAAGCAUUUGAGGCAUCACACUUGGGGUGCUAGGCUCACAAGGUUUCAAGGAACAUAAGCAACAACAAGGUAAGUUAUUUUAUCUUUCAUUCAAGUUAAAAAUUGUUCCCCAUGUAUGCUAGAUAGGAAUAUAACCUUGGAAUUCAACUUUGCAUGAUAAUUAGACAAACAUAGAUCCAAGGUUAUUAGGGUUGCAUGUACACUUAGGAAGUGUUAGAAUGCUCAAUACCCAUCACCUACUUCAAGCCUAUUCAGAUUCAAACUAUGGUGGUCUUCAACUUGAUAGAAAAAGCACGUCUGAUGGCUGCCAAUUUGUAGGUGGUCGUUUGGUCAGUUGGUCAUCCAAGAAACAGAACUGCAUUGCACUCUCUAUAGCCAAAGUCG